Podarcis raffonei (Aeolian wall lizard) is the source of this 1086-nucleotide long non-coding RNA. RefSeq lists it as uncharacterized. The record is from RefSeq and is a predicted model, not a curated record. Lineage: Eukaryota; Metazoa; Chordata; Lepidosauria; Squamata; Lacertidae. The transcript is spliced from 5 exons.
UCUGGGAUUAAUGAUCUUACAGAUGCUCCCACUUUAAAUGGUAACUGUAUUACUUCAAAAUGUGGUAAACUGACCCAGCUGCAUUUAGGGCUCCCCAAUCUGCAGGGUGGGGCCCUGGACUUUUCCUCUAAAGUCCUAUUCUGAUGGCUCCACUGUCAGAACCCCUUAGUGGACUCUUUUAUUCACAGUUCUCUCUGCACUGCCAUUUCUGCUAUCUCUUUUAUCUGUUGCUUUUUAAUUCCUCUCACACUCAAGCUCUCCGCCUGCAUCAGCACAUGCUUUUCUGUGCUCCCACCUCUCUUGUCUCUUGGAUUGCCUUACCAGCAUCUGGUGAUUUGAUUUUCAGACAUUAGCAAGUGAUACAGUGCCUACCUCUGUGAUGAAAAGCUUCACCUGUUGAUUCCUACAUGCCAAGCUGCAGUUAGAAGAAAGCCAGAUACCCAUAUUUUCAGAAUUUGCCUGACUGCUGAGAUACACAAAUAGACAGGGAGAAAGGCUGCACACACAGAGGAAAAUAUUGUCAUGGUGAAACGGAAUGUCUGAACACCUAAAGCAGUGACCUGAGGAGCUGCAGAAAACAAAACUCAAAACCCGGUGCUCAUCUAAUUGGAAACCAGCUGAAGAGGCAACCGAUAUCCAGCAGUCAUCACACCCGAGUCAACUAAUUAGGGAGACUGUAGUGACUUGCAGCACUACCAGUUAGGUUUAUCUAUGUGGAUCAACUUGCCAAGGGGUAUAUAAUGCCUGUCUGUCCAUGCCCAUGAAUCUACAAGAACUGUGGGUGACCCCCUACAAAAAAACCUUAACUUCAGGCAUACUUGAGUUCUCCAAGGACAGCAGAAAAGAAAAUUGAUCAUCUUUUCUUCAAACAAGGUUCAAUUGCCAUAAAAUUGGAACUGGGGGGGGGGGGGAAAUCUCUGCACUAUAGAAAUAUAAUUGUGCUUGGAGAAUUUUCAAAACGACUUCUUGGAAACAUAUGAAACAAGUUAAAUUAUCUGCUUCGUUUGCACUGUUUACAUGAGGGGGGGAAUUACAAAACACUCGACUAGAUACUUUAUUCUAAAACAGCAUAAUAUUAAAUAAUUG